This 162-nucleotide ribosomal RNA is filed under the name Opuntia microdasys (bunny ears cactus). RNAcentral's name for it is "5.8S ribosomal RNA". It matches the Rfam family "5.8S ribosomal RNA". From Rfam's summary of the family: 5.8S ribosomal RNA (5.8S rRNA) is a component of the large subunit of the eukaryotic ribosome. It is transcribed by RNA polymerase I as part of the 45S precursor that also contains 18S and 28S rRNA. Lineage: Eukaryota; Viridiplantae; Streptophyta; Magnoliopsida; Caryophyllales; Cactaceae. The record is from RNAcentral. RNAcentral also lists the same sequence under 16 other names.
UAACGACUCUCGGCAACGGAUAUCUCGGCUCUCGCAUCGAUGAAGAACGUAGCGAAAUGCGAUACUUGGUGUGAAUUGCAGAAUCCCGUGAACCAUCGAGUCUUUGAACGCAAGUUGCGCCCAAAGCCUUCCGGCCGAGGGCACGUCUGCCUGGGCGUCACG